Molecule: ribosomal RNA, 468 nt
Filed under: uncultured bacterium
Lineage: Bacteria
Description: partial 16S ribosomal RNA
Rfam family: Bacterial small subunit ribosomal RNA
Source: RNAcentral
GACGAACGCUGGCGGCGUGCUUAACACAUGCAAGUCGAACGGAAAGGCCCUGCUUUUGUGGUGUGCUCGAGUGGCUAACGGGUGAGUCACACGUGAGUAACCUGCCCUUGCUUUUGCGAUCACUUCAGGAAACUGGGGCUAAUACCGGUUAUUACCUCCUGCUGCAUGGUGUGGUUUGGAAAGUCUCGGCGGUUGGGGAUGGACUCGCGGCUUAUCAGCUUGUUGGUGGGGUAGUGGCUUACCAAGGCUUUGACGGGUAGCCGGCCUGAGAGGGUGACCGGCCACAUUGGGAAUGAGAUACGGCGCAGACUCAGACGGGAGGCAGGAGUGGGGAAUAGUGCACAAUGGGCGGAAGCCUGAGGCAGCAACGCCGCGUGCGGGAUGACGGACUUCGGGUGGUAAACAGCUUUCGCCUGUGACGAAGCGUGAGUGACGGUAAUGGGUAAAGAAGCACCGGCUAACUACGUG